RNAcentral lists this ribosomal RNA (497 nucleotides) under uncultured bacterium. RNAcentral's name for it is "partial 16S ribosomal RNA". It matches the Rfam family "Bacterial small subunit ribosomal RNA", at positions 28 to 507 of the family's 1533-position model. The record is from RNAcentral.
GACGAACGCUGGCGGCGUGCCUAAUACAUGCAAGUUGAGCGAUGAAGAUUGGUGCUUGCCCCAAUUUGAAGAGCAGCGAACGGGUGAGUAACGCGUGGGGAAUCUGCCUUUGAGCGGGGGACAACAUUUGGAAACGAAUGCUAAUACCGCAUAACAACUUUAAACAUAAGUUUUAAGUUUGAAAGAUGCAAUUGCAUCACUCAAAGAUGAUCCCGCGUUGUAUUAGCUAGUUGGUGAGGUAAAGGCUCACCAAGGCGAUGAUACAUAGCCGACCUGAGAGGGUGAUCGGCCACAUUGGGACUGAGACACGGCCCAAACUCCUACGGGAGGCAGCAGUAGGGAAUCUUCGGCAAUGGACGAAAGUCUGACCGAGCAACGCCGCGUGAGUGAAGAAGGUUGUCGGAUCGUAAAACUCUGUUGGUAGAGAAGAACGUUGGUGAGAGUGGAAAGCUCAUCAAGUGACGGUAACUACCCAGAAAGGGACGGCUAACUACGUG